RNAcentral lists this transfer RNA (72 nucleotides) under Candidatus Melainabacteria bacterium RIFCSPHIGHO2_02_FULL_34_12. Its description in RNAcentral is "tRNA-Gly". It matches the Rfam family "tRNA". From Rfam's summary of the family: Transfer RNA (tRNA) molecules are approximately 80 nucleotides in length. Their secondary structure includes four short double-helical elements and three loops (D, anti-codon, and T loops). Lineage: Bacteria; Bacillati; Candidatus Melainabacteria. The record is from RNAcentral.
GCGGGUGUAAUUCAGUGGUAGAAUGCAAGCUUCCCAAGCUUGACGUCGCGGGUUCGAAUCCCGUCGCCCGCU